Molecule: long non-coding RNA, 2757 nt
Filed under: Panax ginseng (ginseng)
Lineage: Eukaryota; Viridiplantae; Streptophyta; Magnoliopsida; Apiales; Araliaceae
Description: long non-coding RNA (PGIN_LNC011132)
Source: RNAcentral
AAAAAUGUAAAAAUGGCCUUCAAACAAAACUUAAAAACUACAUUAUGCCAAUCCCUACAUGUUCAAAUACAACAAUUCUCACUAAGUUUUAAAGAUUGCUUGCUUCAGCUUUACAAUGUUUCCAGCCUUGAGUUACCACAUCGAAUCUUGACUGAUAGCCUAAUCAAAUACCAUCUGUGGAAAAAAAAAACAGCUCGGCUAUGAGCUCUAGGAAAAAAUACUUGCAAAAUCUACAGGUCGCUCAAGGAUAUCUCCCCUGUUGCACUCGAGUUGUGACUUGAUCUUGGUCUUGCUUCUCAUCUAUAGACCAAAGAAUCAGCACUUCGAUUUCCCUCACGAAGAUCAUUGUCCACGUAUCUGUCAUCUGCUCAUAAAGAUACAAUCCGCAAUAAGGGCUCUGUUGUUGCUUCCGGGACUCGUCAUUACUUUGUUCAUGGCAACUUGAAGACCUUGCUUUUAUACUGCAGUCCUCCAAAUGUCUCAUAGCCUUCAUUUCUAGCUAUCCCCCCUAUCCCCUUUCACUCAUACAUUCCUGUUCAAGCAAAACAAAACCUAUAGGAGAAAACACCCACGUAAUGAGUUUGUCAUUUUGUUCCCCUCACUUACAAAUUGGACUUUGGCCUGUUCGAAGUUUAACAUGCAUUCGGUUAAAACUCUCUCAAUAGCUUUCGUGGCUCCUGUGUUUUCCAAAUUUGCCUUGGGCACAAAUGACCACAGCAUCCACAGAAUUUCUUGACUUAGGAAAGAGACUUGAGUCAGUUCUGAAGUCUCUUUCCUAAAUAACAACCCUUCUUAGGUAGUGUCCUCAAAACACACCAUCAUAAGCAGUUCACAUUAAGAACACACCACAGGAAUACUCUGAAAUUUUUUAGGAAUUUGAAACCAUCGGUUCCACUUACCUUUGAACUCCAUUGAUGUUAAUCCAUGAUGAGGGAAGGGAAACUUAUGCCUGAACCUGCAAGGUUCCUGUUAAACUCUUCUUCAAGAACUUGUAAACACCGGUGGUAGCUUGCUCAGCUAAGUCAAGUUUUUUUUCAAGGGAUUUAUCACAAUCCACCAGUCAUUACAGUUUUGGAUCAAUCCCAUAUUUCAUUUUGUCUCUCCAAAUGGCAUAGGAUUUGUUAUUAACAGUGGAAUGAUCUAGCCGAUAUCUAAUUUGCUGUCAUUGGAACUUUAAACAAUGAGUGUAUUUAGGUCGUACUAGACAGAAAAUAGCUAAUCAUCUUUAAUAGUUCAGAUUUGGCUGCAGGGCAUAAUACCAAAAUAAAGAUCCUUGCUACAAGGCAUGCAUGCUAAAGAUUACAAGGCUAGCUGCUUCCAGAGUGCAAGCAAGGCUCAGCAACCCUACUUUGUAGUUACGCUACAGCAAGUAGCACUAGCCUUGAUGCUGAUAGAUGUGGCUCAGUGAAGAAACCCACGAGCCCCCCUACCCGCUCACACAACAACCCCUAAUGACCAAGUUGCCUUCUAUUGAGAUUGGGAAAGUGGCAAUUUUACUAGCAAGGGGCAUAUUAAAGCCUUCUACAACAAAUGAAGGCUGACAAAUAAUUGAAUCAUAUUAAGAGUCCAUCAGAGCAUGUAUUCAUGCUAGAGCAGCUCAAACACUACCUUAUUUGCGGAGUACCAGAAUCAUAUGUGCCACCCACACCAUAAAGGUAAUAUGUGCUUUGGUGAAUCAUAUCAAAAUAAUGUUUUAUGUCAACAAAGAAAAUGACAAGAUUUAAAAACAUCUUGAAUGUUCACAUCAUCUAGUAUUCAGAUAUUGAAAUUGUAUAUGUAUCCAUCCAAUUAUAAUUACCCACGAAUAAAAUAAGCUGUGUGCUUGUAAGACACUUUUAGAUAGAGCAGUGAAAGGAUCAGCCUGAAGGUUUUGAUCAAAUGCAGGAAGCCAGUGAAAACUGAGAUGUGUACAAAUAUGGGGAUAAAACUAAAUGUCGGGAGAAGUCUAAGUUAUCAUUCAAUACUAGAAUGCAACCCACGCCUUUUAUUACAACCCAUCACCAAGCUUAAAGCACAGUGUAGUUUCUAUUGAAGAGGUUGCAAAUGUCACAAUGUUAUAACUUGAACAAGGACAGGGGCCCUCUUCCUUCUUCCCCACUAACAUCUCAAGCCAACACCACACCCUGCUCAGACCUUUUACAUUUGACCAUCAUAUCCAUUUUCACUCUAAAAGAUGUACAAACCCCAUAAAAGUAAAGGAAAUGAAGGAUAAUACAAGAUAUAAAAAAGUAAAUUAAAAUCAAUUUGUAUGCCUCAAAGGAUUGGGAAAAGAGGAAACUUCAAGAAUAAUAGGGGAAAAACAUGUACUUUUUACUUUAAGCACACAUAUUUAUUGAAGGAGCUGAAUAGCUGCCAUUUCCUCCCUGAAACUAAUUGAAAUUGGUCAUAAAUGUUGCUCAAACCAAAAUUGUUCAAACUACUAAUAAUGUAUGAAUUUUUCAGUGAAAGGAAACUAGCAUCUUUACAGCUGAAUCAAGACCAUAGAAUCAAAAAUAUAUGUUCCUAAAAUCAAAAGAGAAAUAAAUAAAUAAAUAAAAUCCCAUAUCAGAUUUCUUGAAGUACCUUCGAUUUGGAUGAUGAGGAUUGUCUAAUCUGUUUGUCGCCGUGGUAGCCAUUAUAAUUAGGGUUUGAUGUAAGUGAUUAAGGAAAACGGGUGCGUUAGUCCUAACCACUAAAGGGGCUUUGGACGGCGAUGAGGAGGGUUUUAGGGUUUCUGGAGGGUGAAUAUAUAUACAUUUUUUCCCUCUUCCAAACAAG